UACGUAGGGCGCAAGCGUUGUCCGGAAUUAUUGGGCGUAAAGAGCUCGUAGGCGGCCUGUUACGUCUGCUGUGAAAUCCCGGGGCUUAACCCCGGGCGUGCAGUGGAUACGGGCAGGCUGGAGGCGGGCAGGGGAGAACGGAAUUCCCGGUGUAGCGGUGAAAUGCGCAGAUAUCGGGAGGAACACCGGUGGCGAAGGCGGUUCUCUGGGACGGUACUGACGCUGAGACGCGAAAGCGUGGGGAGCGAACAGG
This 253-nucleotide ribosomal RNA is filed under the name uncultured bacterium. Its description in RNAcentral is "partial 16S ribosomal RNA". It matches the Rfam family "Bacterial small subunit ribosomal RNA", at positions 524 to 776 of the family's 1533-position model. The record is from RNAcentral.